RNAcentral lists this ribosomal RNA (459 nucleotides) under Anthemis cretica. RNAcentral's name for it is "partial internal transcribed spacer". The record is from RNAcentral. Lineage: Eukaryota; Viridiplantae; Streptophyta; Magnoliopsida; Asterales; Asteraceae.
UCGAACCCUGCAAAGCAGAACGACCCGCGAACACGUAAAACAACAGAGCAUCGAGUGAAUUAAGGUUUGUUUGAUACACUCGAUGCUUCGUCGAUGUGCAUUUACUUUUGUUCUUUUUGACAUGGUGAAUGUUNCAUAGGCGGCAAUAACCAACCCCGGCACAAUGCGUGCCAAGGAAAACUAGACAUAAGAAGGCUUGUUUUGUGUUCGCCCCGCUCGCGGUGUGCUCAUGAGACGUGGCUUCUUUAUAAAUCGCGUCGCCCCCAACAAAUUACUGUUGGGGGCGGAUAUUGGUCUCCCGUGCUCAUGGUGUGGUUGGCCAAAAUAGGAGUCCCUUCGAUGGACGCACGAACUAGUGGUGGAUCUAAAAACCCUCGUUCUUUGUUUCGUGUUAGUUAGUCGCAAGAAUAAACUCUCUGAAUACCCCCAAUGUGUUGUCUUCUGAUGACGCUUCGACCG